Molecule: ribosomal RNA, 663 nt
Filed under: Triticum aestivum (bread wheat)
Lineage: Eukaryota; Viridiplantae; Streptophyta; Magnoliopsida; Poales; Poaceae
Description: partial small subunit ribosomal RNA
Source: RNAcentral
AUGUACUACUACGGGCUAGAUUUCCAUGAUCUAGCCCCAAACUCAUUCCUCCACAUCUCGGCAUUCGUCAUCGUGUGUGAGGCUCUCCUCCGCGUCCACCCACACUUCGGCCUAUGGCUCAAGGUCUUCAAUGUGAAGCCGAAGAUGGUCGACAGGCAGCAUGUAGACUACAGCGGAGCUAUGAUUAGCAAGCUGCUGAACACCAUAUGUGAUGCAGAGCAUCCUACGAUCAUCACCAUGUCAAGAGGCCAUUUGGCAAGUGACACGUGCGACCUCUACUUCUCAUACACAAAAGUGAAUCUUCUCCUUUACACGUGUUCACUUGACCCCUUCGAGGAUGGUAUACUACUUGACACUCCACCCGUUUGCAUGCAUAGGUAUCGUCGGAGCUUCACGGACGAUGAGGAGGAGUGCAAGCGCCAAGGAACACCUACACCAUCCACGAGGGAAGCGUGGAAGCGAAGACGAAAGAAGACGGAGCUGCGGAGUCCCCAGCAACCGGACGACCGACGUGCCACCGAACGUCCGUCAAUCUACAGCCACCGGAAGACCGGACUACGCCGAACCUCCGACACCUGGAACUCCAGCCAUUCCAAAAGUCCUGCCGACGAGAUCUACAACGACCGGACGACCGACCAAGACCGGACGUCCGACACCUCCUAG